UAAGUUUGGUUCUGGCUUUGUGUUUUGGCUGUAACUAUAAUAAAUACAUGGUUCUUUAUGGGGUUAGUGAGUAGUGGGUCGUGAAUAAGUGUAUAAGGUGGUUUAAUACUUCUGUAUAAGCUCGGCUUGACAUAAUUUUUAUAUGACGUCUAGAUUCUUUCACUUGUAACACCAGUAUUGAAGGUUAAUUAGGAUGAGCGUAAGCUUGAAUUAGUGAUUGUUAAUAGGUCUGGUGAAAUAUGUGCCAGCCUCCGCGGUUAGACGUAUAGGCCUAGUUAAUAUGUUCGGUAUAAAAUAUGGUUAGGGAAGUUAAUUGAAAGAUUUAGAAUGGUUUUUUCUUGGGUGAAAUUUAGGGAAAAUGUUGAAUGUUGUUUGAAUCUUUGAUUCUUGAAGCCAUGAAAUUUUUGAGAGAAACCGGGAUUAGAUACCCCGUUAUUCAAAAAUGUAAAUGUUAGUGUUGCUUACCUGGGUAGUACGGGUUCAUACUUAAAACUCAAAGAACUUGGCGGUGCCUUAAAUCUUUUUAGGGGAAUUUGUUCUGUAAUCGAUAAUCCGCGUGUGACCUCACUCUCUCUUGUACAGACAGCUUGUAUACCGUUGUCGUCAGGUUACUUUUUAAGAAAAUUGGAGUUGGCUGCAGGGAGAAUGUGUUAAUAUCAUGUACCCUUUACGUCAGAUCAAGGUGCAGCUAAUGGGGGAGCAAGAAAUGAAUUACAAUAAGUUAAUUUUUAUACGGAGUUUUUUCUUAAAUGGAGAGAUGAAGGUGGACUUAAUAGUAAGCGCAAUAUUAGAAAGAUUUGUUGAAAUUGGCUCUAAGGCGUGCACACAUCGCCCGUCGCUCUCGUUGAGAAAUGAGAUAAGUCGUAACAUAGUAAGGGUACCGGAAGGUGUUCUUAGUUGAU
Molecule: ribosomal RNA, 902 nt
Filed under: Entemnotrochus adansonianus
Lineage: Eukaryota; Metazoa; Mollusca; Gastropoda; Pleurotomariida; Pleurotomariidae
Description: 12S ribosomal RNA
Rfam family: Bacterial small subunit ribosomal RNA
Source: RNAcentral